ACGCGUGGGCGACCUGGCCCGGGGAUGGGGACAGCCGCUGGAAACAGCGGGUAAUACCGAAUACGCCCGUGCAGUUGAGGCUGCAUGAGGAAAGGGGCUACGGCCCCGCCCCGGGAUGGGCCCGCGUCCCAUUAGCUUGUUGGGGCGGUAACGGCGCACCAAGGCGAAGAUGGGUAGCCGGCCUGAGAGGGCGAACGGCCACACUGGGACUGAGAUACGGCCCAGACUCCUACGGGAGGCAGCAGCUAAGAAUAUUCCGCAAUGGGCGAAAGCCUGACGGAGCGACGCCGCGUGGAUGACGAAGGCCGAAAGGUUGUAAAAUCCUUUUGCAGGCGCAGAAGAAGGCGGGGAGGGAAUGCCCCGCCGGUGACAAAGGUCUGUGAAUAAGCCCCGGCUAAUUACGUGCCAGCAGCCGCGGUAACACGUAAGGGGCGAGCGUUGUUCGGAAUUAUUGGGCGUAAAGGGCGCGUAGGCGGCCUGGCAAGUCCGGCGUGAAAUAUCGGGGCUUAACCCCGGGGCUGCGCUGGAAACUGCCUGGCUUGAGUCACGGAGGGGCAGCCGGAAUUCCUGGUGGAGGGGUGAAAUCUGUAGAUAUCAGGAAGAACACCGGUGGCGAAGGCGGGCUGCCAGCCGAUGACUGACGCUGAGGCGCGAAAGUGCGGGGAGCAAACAGGAUUAGAUACCCUGGUAGUCCGCGCCGUAAACGAUGUGCACUAGGUGUCGGGGCGAGCGUCUCGGCGCCGGAGCGAACGCGAUAAGUGCACCGCCUGGGGAGUAUGCCCGCAAGGGUGAAACUCAAAGGA
This 803-nucleotide ribosomal RNA is filed under the name uncultured bacterium. RNAcentral describes it as "bacterial SSU rRNA". It matches the Rfam family "Bacterial small subunit ribosomal RNA", at positions 113 to 908 of the family's 1533-position model. The record is from RNAcentral.